This is a non-coding RNA of Podarcis lilfordi (Lilford's wall lizard), 9563 nucleotides long. The record is from the annotation of a GenBank genome assembly. NCBI's taxonomy places the organism in Eukaryota, Metazoa, Chordata, Lepidosauria, Squamata, Lacertidae.
GAAUGCUCAGAAGGGCUUCAUUCCCUGAAGCGCAGCAAUACUGGGACUAUGAUACCUCCAGGUUCAGGCUGUGUGGUGUCUACAGGUCCAAUGUGUCCAGAACUUCUCCCUCUUUGCUAAUCUUGCUGUAUUAGUUGGUAUCCCUAUAGCGAUUACUGAGAAGUAUGAUGGGCUGCAGUUAUCAGCUUUGAAAUGUUUAGCAACCAGGCACUCCACUUUUUUUGGAACGAGGGAGAGAAAAGCUCUGGAGGAGAGAACCCGAACCACUGGUUUCAAAUGACAAAAAAUGAGAUUCCAUUUUUAUUUUUAUUUUGUCCCUGGGCAUCUAAUGGAGAGGCAAGAUCUGUUGGAGUGUUAAUGCUGUGAGCCCCUCCAUCCUAUGUUCAGACUACUGCUGCCACACACACAUGCACACACACACACACCAAACCCGUCAUCUGUCCUAGAAAAACUUGAACAUCUCAUUUCUUCUCAUGAGAGCAUGUUGGCCAUCUUGGGUGCCGUGAUCUCGCAUGAUUUCGACAUCAUGGUAAAAGCACAUUUUUCAGGGCUGCGAUGUUGUUUGGCACUCCAAAAAUGCGAGUUUUGGGGCACAGUGCCCCCCAAAAGUACUUUUAUCAUGGGGAAAUCACGGCUCAGCAUGGUGAGAAAAAACGGGAAAAUGGUGUCCCAGAUGGUAGCGUCCCGGUUUUUCCCUUUGAUGUGUUAGAGGGUGUCAGGGAACUGCCAUCGGACGGAAGGGAGGUGAAAGGGCUCACACAGGUUGGGAGAGAAGCAGCAGCUGAAGAGGGAACCGGAAGGGAGGUGAAAGGGCUCACACAGGUUGGGAGAGACGCAGCAGCUGAAGAGGGAACCGGAAGGGAGGUGAAAGGGCUCACACAGGUUGGGAGAGACGCAGCAGCUGAAGAGGGAACCAGCAGGGGAGAGGAGCUGAGCUGGAGGGAUGGCUCAGAGACACUUCCAGCGAAAACAGUGGGGAGGUUUCAGGACCUCCUGUAAGAACACCCACUCCUCGCCGGAAACUGUCACGCAGAGAUUCCAGAAGACGUGUUUCCGUUAAGGAGCUUUUAUGUUGGAAGCGAUUACGAAGCAACCACUGUCGGAAUCUGCUAGUGACUAGAGUAGCCAUGUCUGAGGGGCUCCGUCACAGACAGAGGUUUGUGGACUUGAACAAACUCUGAGGGGAUACGAUUUUACGCACAAGCAGCUCAUCAUCCCAUCACAGCAUUCCGACAGUGGUUGAAAGCAGCUUGUGCAGGAGAAGGCAUCAUGAGCAACCCAGCCGGAACCGGAGAAGCAGGAGCUGGAGCGGGUCCAAGCCUGGAAGAAAGGUACCAGAUGUUGGAGGUCCAGCUAGCGAUGCAGACGGCGAGGCUUGAGGAGAGGAGGGCUCUGGAUGCAGACAAAAAGGCGCAAGCCACCCAGUUCGCCAGAAAGGUACCAGGAUUGGUGCAGAAGUUUGGGGGGGAGCACAAAAACUAUCAUGGUUUUCGGACAGAAAUGCAAUAUGCCCUCAAUCUGCAGUUUGAUGAAUUCCCUGACGAGGAAUCACGAGUGGCUUUCGUGAUUGAGCAUCUUGAAGAGGGGGCGAGAGACUGGGUUAGACCCCUGAUGGCAGCUAAUAGUGACGUCUUAAAGGACACGAUGAAGUUCUUUCGCGCCAUGGAUCUGAUGUUUUCCAGCGAUAUUGAAAAGGGAGUGGUGCGCAGACAGUUAAUGGGUUGCAAACAGGGGAGCCGAUCUGUCCGUGAGUACUGGACUGAGUUCACCAUGCUUGUUCACAGAUUGGGGUGGGACUUAUCGGCGGAACCCAUUCAAAUGCUCUUUGAAGAAGGGCUUUCUUCGGCUGUGAAAGACGAACUUUCCCGGGCGCCCAGGGCGGAGUCUAUGGACCAGCUGACCAAAUCAGCGCUGGCCAUAGGAGCGCGCCAGGAGGCGAGAGCAUUGGAGAGGCGGGACGGGCAAGGGGAACGUUGGAAGGAGUUCCGCAUUCCAGACAUUCCAGAGCCAACUUUCCCACCGGCAGAGCCGAUGGAAAUCGGAACAGCGCGCGCGCGCGCAGUUUCAAAGCCCAGUGAGGGGGCAAAGAAGGAGGGAAAAGGCGCCCGGAAAUGCUAUCUCUGCCAACAGCCAGGUCACUUUGCCAGAGUCUGCCCCCAGAGGAAAGAAUGGCAAGGGAUGGUAGGAGCUGUGGAUGGAAGAGAGGACAAAAUACCGGAGCAAGUACAAGCCAACGCCUGGCUGCCACUGUCAGGGCACAGCAGCCAGGCCAAAGAGCAGUGAGAGUGCCCACGCCAGAACCUCCUAAACCCGCCCUAGUGAUAGAAGUGACGCUAGAGCUGCCAAACGGACACCCUCUAAAGAUAAAGGCGCUGUUGGACUCAGGCAGCUCCUGCAAUUUCAUGAGCAAAGAGUUUGCAGCUGAACACCAGAUACAGACAAUCCCUUUAAGCAGCCCCCUGCAGGUGACCACGAUCGAUGGCAGGGAGCUGUUGGGUGGAGAAGUCAGCUUGCAGACCGUCCCAAUGAUAAUGAAGGUAGCAAGGCACACCGAACUGAUAGCUUUUAAUGUGGCCACCUUGGGAGGAGCUCCCAUUAUAUUGGGGAUGAGCUGGCUAGCGUUACAUGAUCCGCUGGUGGGCUGGCAUCAGAGAGUGGUUUCUUUUGGUUCAGCACAUUGCUUAGAACACUGCAAAGAGGGAAAGGGUUUGGCAGGGGUCCAAGCCACCCUAGCAGGGACUGAAGUAACAGAGAACGUGAAGGUACCACGACAAUAUGCAGAUCUCCGUGACGUCUUCAGCGAAAGGAAGCUGACCAACUACCCCGCAUAGACCCUUUGACUGUCAAAUCAACUUACUCCCUGGAGCACAGCUCCCUGUAGGCAAGCUGUACGCCAUGUCAGACAGAGAGAUGCAGGAGUUAAGAGAGUUCAUUGACAAGAACCUGAAGAGAGGGUUCAUCAGAGAGUCCAGGGCGGUGGGGGGCAGCCCAGUGUUUUUGUGGAUAAGAAAAACACGAACAAGCCGAGGCUGGUGUGUGACUUCAGGGCCUUAAAUGCAGUGUCAGAACCAGUAGCCUUCCCUAUGCCCAGGAUUGACGACAUUUUGACAAGGGUGCGGAAGGGAAAGAUUUUCACAAAGCUGGACCUAAGGGGGGCGUACAACCUGGUACGAAUAAGGAAGGGGGAUGAAUGGAAAACCACUAUGUUCACCCCUUUAGGGGCAUUUGAAUAUUUGGUUAUGCCCUUCGGCCUACAAGCAGGCUCCGCAACAUUUCAAUCGUUUAUGAACCACGUCCUGGGGCCUUUGCUUUACAAGAAUUGUGUGGCCUUUUAGACGACGUGUUGGUGUAUUCUGAGAAUGAGGAGCAGCAUGUGAGAGACGUCAGAGAAGUGUUGAGCAGGCUGCAAGCCAACCAGCUGUGGGUGAAACUGGAGAAGUGUCAGUUUCAUACCAAGGAGGUGGAAUUCCUGGGGUAUCGCCUGUCAGACAAGGGAUUGGCCAUGGAUCCCGGCAAGGUCCAGGCGGUGCUGGAAUGGAAAACACCCAAAACAAAGAAGGAUGUGCAGAGGUUCCUAGGAUUUGGGAACUUCUAUCGUAAGUUCAUCCGAAACUUUGCCCACCUGACGGCGCCCAUUACGGACUGUCUCAGCAGUAAGAAGAAGUUCGUGUGGACUGAGGAGGCGGAGCGAGCAUUUGAGGAACUAAAAGGGCCUUCGCCUCGGAACAACAACUCCUGCAUGUGGAUUUACAAAAACCGAUGAGAGUGGAAACUGACGCAUCAGACAGAGCGAUUGGGGCGGUGCUUCUGCAGCCAGGCAAGAAGGGGUCAGAGUGGAGACCGUGUGCCUUUUCUUCGCGAAAGCUGAACAAAUCCGAGAGGAACUACACGGUGUAUGACCGAGAACUACUAGCCAUUCAUGAGGCGUUCCGGAGAUGGAGGCACCUGCUAAUUGGGGCACAACAUAAGGUGCAAGUGUGCACUGACCACAAGAACCUAGAGUAUUGGAGGACGGCACGAGUGCUCAACCAACGGCAAGUGAGAUGGGCCCAGGAGUUCUCCAAAUUUAACUUUGAGAUUAGUUACGUGCCAGGCCCAGAGAACAUUAGGGCGGACGCUCUCUCACGCAAACCUGAAUAUUUGGAGGGAGGGGCACCCGAAGAGAGACAUGUCAUUCCAGAGGACCGCUGGGUGUGUGGGGCGGCAUUGGUGGGACAAAGAGAACUGGUAGAGGAAACAGAGAAUGAUGAAUACGCCCAGAAUAAGCUCAGAGGUCUUAGGGGUGAUGGAGAGGAACCAGGGGUUUCGAGGAAAGAAAUGGAGCUUUGUAUUACAAAGGGGCACUGUAUAUCCCUGAAGGAGAGUUAAGGGGAGGGUACUCAAGCAGUUGCACGACAGCCCUACGGCGGGGCAUUUUGGACAACACAAAACCAUGUGGUUGGUCACCAGGGAAUUUUGGUGGCCUAAGGUGAGGGAAGAUGUACGUGAGUAUGUAAGAGGGUGUGAGCAAUGCCAGCGAGCCAAAGGGGAAAGGCGGGCGCCGGCGGGGCUAUUAGAACCCUUACCAACCCCAGAACGACCUUGGGAGGCAGUGUCGAUAGAUUUUAUGACUGAUCUGCCGAAGUCCAAAGGGAAAACAGCCAUCAUGGUGGUGGUAGACCUACUAACAAAGAUGUGCCACUUUGUAGCUUGCUCGCAUGCAGUCACGGCGGAAGAGACAGCGAAGUUAUUUGUAGAACACAUUUUUAGGUUGCACGGGGUGCCAUUGAGGGUGGUCUCAGACCGAGGAAAACAAUUUACUUCCAGGUUCUGGAGGAAGCUCAUGAGCUUACUGCAGGUGGAGGUCAAUUUUUCGACUGCCCGGCACCCUGAAACCAACGGGCAGGCGGAAAGAGCAAACGGUGUCCUCCAGCAAUACCUGAGGUGUUAUGUCAAUGACAGAGAGAAUGACUGGGUAGAAAAGUUGGCGCUGGCGGAAUUUGCCUACAACAAUGCCGAGAAUGUGUCCACAGGGAUGAGCCCCUUCUUGGCUAAUUAUGGGUGUCAUCCCAGGGCUUUCCCAGGGGGGAGAAGGGGAGAGAUGGAGCGUCCCGGCAGCCGAGCAUUUUGUAGAAGAAAUGGAAGCAAUCCAUCGUCAGCUCCAACUCAACUUAGAAAGGGCGAAGGAAGAAUACAAGAGGCAGGCAGACAAGAACCGAAGGGAAGGUGAAACCAUAAGGGUGGGAGAUAGGGUGUGGCUGUCCACCCAAGGGUUGCCGUUCAAAGGAGGUUGUAAGAAAUUAAGACCCAGGAGGUUGGGUCCCUUUGAGGUCAUUCAACAGGUCAACCCAGUGGCUUUCAGGCUCCGGUUACCCAACCACAUGAAACUGCACCCAGUAUUUCACAGGUCGUUACUGUCACCGUACGAAGGGGGACGAGAAGGGCUGGCCACUCGGGGACCGGUCGUAGAAGAAAGAGAAUGCAGCAGCCAUGUGGCAGAAAUCCUCGACGCCAGGUGGAAGGGGGAUCAGGUGGAGUAUUUGGUAGCGUGGGAAGGAGAACCGGAGUCAGAAAACACUUGGGUAAUGGCUGAAGAUAUCAAUGACGAGGUAUUGAUAGAAACGUUCCAUCGAAGGUUCCCAAGGAAACCUCAGCCUGUGGAGAGGUUCCGGAGGGAAUACUUUGGGACCACUGAUGAAGGGGAGGAGUUGGAAGGAUUCCCGGACUCGGAAGGGGACGGGGGAUGGACUCUGAGGAGGAGGUGUACUUCGAGACCAGGAACCGCAACAGGUUGAGAGAAGUGUUCGAGACAUCAGAAGAUGAAGGAAGUUCAUUCCGGGGUUUUGCCUCCUCACCGCCCGUAGAGGAGGGGGCGAGAGGGGGUGAAGGGGGCCCUGGAGGGGAGGUGGAUGUCAGGGAACUGCCAUCGGACGGAAGGGAGGUGAAAGGGCUCACACAGGUUGGGAGAGAAGCAGCAGCUGAAGAGGGAACCGGAAGGGAGGUGAAAGGGCUCACACAGGUUGGGAGAGACGCAGCAGCUGAAGAGGGAACCGGAAGGGAGGUGAAAGGGCUCACACAGGUUGGGAGAGACGCAGCAGCUGAAGAGGGAACCAGCAGGGGGAGAGGAGCUGAGCUGGAGGGAUGGCUCAGAGACACUUCCAGCGAAAACAGUGGGGAGGUUUCAGGACCUCCUGUAAGAACACCCACUCCUCGCCGGAAACUGUCACGCAGAGAUUCCAGAAGACGUGUUUCCGUUAAGGAGCUUUUAUGUUGGAAGCGAUUACAAAAGCAACCACUGUCGGAAUCUGCUAGUGACUAGAGUAGCCAUGUCUGAGGGGCUCCGUCACAGACAGAGGUUUGUGGACUUGAACAAACUCUGAGGGGAUACGAUUUUACGCACAAGCAGCUCAUCAUCCCAUCACAGCGGGUAAGUCACAUACAUACAUAAACCCAUAUGUAUCCUAAAGACACCUUCAUUCCACAGAAACUUGAUUCCACAUUGGGUAAGCGCUGGAGUCUCUCACACCUCAGAGACUGAGGUGUGUGCAGCAAUAUAUAUUCAGCAAAGCUUGGCUGUUUACUCUGUAAUGACAAGAUAUGAAGGCUAGAGCUGAGAGUCAUUUCACAAGAUGUGUGAAUCAAAGAACUGGCCGUGUUUUCAAACAACUCAGUGCGCCGUAGCCCUUGAAUGCACAGUUUUUAAUCUUACCUGCCAACUUCUCUGCCUUCAUUCUUCUGCGGUCAGACCCAGAAACAAAUGAGCAAAAGCCCGGUGAAAAGGGAUAUUUUUCAUCUGCUCUCGGGGCUGAUAGGAUGCCUCCCUUUAAUGUACAGUUGAAAUACACAAAUGCAAACCUCCCUUUGGGGAGAGGAGGAGGAGAGAGAAAAAUAUAUAUCACUCAAUGCAUACUCCACUAAACAAAAACAAAUGGCCCCAAAGUAAGAUCUUUCUUCAGGGGGUCCCAUUGUUUUAUGAAACCCGCCCUGAAAAUGUAUUAAUCUCAUAGCUGAAGGGGGGGGGAGUGUGUGACAACAAAGGAUCAACUUUCCAUGGUAUUCCCCCCCUCCCACUAGGUUCUCUGAAAGUUUGUUCUUCUAAUUGAUUUAUUCUGUUAGUAGGUGGUGCGUUACGUUUGUUUGAAAUGCCUCCAGUGGGUUCAUUCGGAGCGUCUGGCCUGACAUAAACCAGACGCAUUGGCUGCCUGUGUUUUGUGGAAAUGGACUUAAAUUCUGCAGGCAAAUUUGCUGCUUUUUUAUAUCCAUUUUUUACAAGGCUCCUGGGAGCCGGGGGGGGGGGAUUCUGCGGACCUUCACCGUACAGCGUUGUCUGUUUCGUCACUGUGGACGUUAUCAACACCCCCUGAGGCUGGGAAUAAUUCUUCAUGCUUCCAGUGUUAUGAUCUUCUCUUCCUCUCUUCUUGGGACAGUUUUGCUCAGGCCUCUCCAUCUGGUCCUUAGGUCACGAUCCUCCCAGACCACAACUUCUCUCCAGCUGUGCUCUGCUGUCCGCUUUGAGAGCUGUUCCCUGGCCUUGCACAAUAACCAUGUCUCUGGCUGGCUUGGAUGUUUGCGUUCAUGGGCUUGUGCAUGAUAUUGCUUUAAAUGCAUGGUGCAGAUGGGGCCUUGGCUAGUUAGAGAAAGGCCCCAUCUGCACGAUACAUUUUGUAAUAAUAAAAUUUAAGGUCCUAUAUAAUUAAUGUUCAUAAAUGUACCAACCAAGCACGUACAUAGAUCAGCACAGGAAGACUGACCUGAAACCAUUUUGACUCCCAAGCUGACCAAAUGUUUCUCUGCAAGGAGGGAGGAGGUGAAAAAACCUUCAUUGUUACAGGAAUUGGGUAAUCACCAUUUCAAAGGAAUGGGCAAACUACCAGGAAAGGCAAUCAGAUAAGGCAUUAUCAGAUAACCUGACAGACAGGAAAAACAACAACAUUCAAAUUUCUGUUGUAGACCACCUUUUCUGUGAUGUAGGUAUGAUGUUUGUGGGGGGUGGUCUUGGGUUACACUCCUUUUGUGAUGUAUGUAUGAUGUAUGGAGGGGUGGUCUUAAGCUCCAGGGACGGCAGUUUAAAAUGUCUAUAUAAGGGCAGGCACACCUUUGUUCUGGGUCCUCCUCUGUCCUCCUGCGUAUGAGGGGAGCACCCUAUUGCAACAGCUUUAAUAAAGAUCAGGCUUACUAGCUGCUUUACUUCUCAAUAGUCUCUGGUUGGCUUCUGUUAUUUUCUCCUACCAAUAGGGAACCCACGUAAGGACUCUAUAUGGGCUCUUGGAUACCCCAUAAGGGAAAAAGGGCAGAUUUUGUUUACAACAAUAUAAAGCAGGAUUGUACCAUGUUGUCCCACAAAGAAUCAUGGGAACUGUAGUUCAUUAAGGGUUGAGAGUUGUUAGGUGACUCCUUUUACCCUGACACAGAUACAAUUUUCAGAGUGGUUUAAUAAGCAAUCUCUUUUCCAACCCCAACUCCCUCUUCUUUAGGGGAAGGGCAGUGGCUCAGUGGUAGAGAAUUUGCUCUACAUGCAGGAUGUUCCAGGUUCAAUUCCUGGCAAUGUCCCCUGUCUAAAAGGUGCUGCCAGUCUGUGUAGACAAUACUAGGCUAGGUGAGCUAAUGGUCAGUUUCAAUAUAAGGAAGCUUCUUUAUUUUAUUUUAGAACCAUGAAGACUGGGAACAUAUUUUAUUUCUAAGGAAUGGCUGAAGAAUGGUAGUUGAGCAUCUGGUUCAAUUCCUGGCAUCUCCAGGUAGGGAUGGAAAGAACUUCUGUCCCAACAUUCGUAGACAAUCCUAAGCUAGAUGGAUGCAGUGGCAUGACAUGGGAGAGGGGGCAAAGGAACAGUUGUCCCGGAUGCAAAAUUGUUAGGGGGUGUAAAAUUUCAACACCCAGCAGUGCCUCAACACAGCUGCAUGCUUCCGUCACUGGACUCUGUUGAAAACGGCUUCUCCAUGCAAACCAGGAAGUGACCUCUCCAGACAACAGAAUGACUCGUAUUAUCUCUGCGGCUGAAACCACCUGGGUGACACGGAUGCCAUUAAGCAGUUGAAUGUGCAUGCAUGCUCUGUCCGUUUCCCUUUCUCCCAACCGCGUGGCCCCGGGCACUGGCAAACUGUUUACGCCACUGGAUGGACCAAUGGUCUGGCUUGGUGUAAGGUGGCUUCUUACAUUCCCAUGUUAGUCCUAUGGCUUGAUGAUGGAACCCAGAGGCAGCUUUUGCCUGACAGUGACUUUGGAGAGGAAGCAAUGAUGCCUAGAUCAUGUGGUACCCUUGACUCUCCCUUUAUCAUUAAAAACUCAAGAUUUCCCCAUCCCACCACAUGGAUGAGAUUCAUUCUCUGUCUCUCUCUCUCUCUCCAAUAGAUCAGCCUUCAUCAAAGCCUAAGGAUAUAAUUAAGAGCCUAGGGACUUCAAUCCAGGUCAAGCUGAUGGAAUCUCAUAGAUGAUCUCUUCAGUGGCCUAGCUGGUUCGAUGGACUCAUGCCCAAGAAUUAUUUCAUGCACCAGAGCAGAUGGAUGCCUUAGGAUUUAUUGUCCACCUCAAAAAAAGAAAGACAAGAAAAGGCUCGUGUUGCUUUCAACUUCUUUGACAAACCACA